GGAGGUAUAGCUCAGCUGUAGAGCACGAGCUUGGCAUGCACGGGGUCCUGGGUUCCAUCCUCCGUACCUCCA
RNAcentral lists this transfer RNA (72 nucleotides) under Camelus bactrianus (Bactrian camel). It matches the Rfam family "tRNA". From Rfam's summary of the family: Transfer RNA (tRNA) molecules are approximately 80 nucleotides in length. Their secondary structure includes four short double-helical elements and three loops (D, anti-codon, and T loops). Lineage: Eukaryota; Metazoa; Chordata; Mammalia; Artiodactyla; Camelidae. RNAcentral also lists the same sequence under 2 other names. The record is from Rfam by way of RNAcentral.